CUCUGUGAUUGCGUCGGUUUGAACCCGCAGGACCACAGCCUCGACUAUGGCGCGAUCUCUGUCUGAACGCGCACAGAGGCGACGCACCGUCCUUAUAUCGCCUUGGUCCAGGGCGUCGCGUACGGUCAGAGCAACCAUAUGGUCGACGCGCGCGUCGACCUGAACUUGCGGUAUGCCGACGGGUGGUCGACGAUCCAAAAGCACGCGCUCCAGGUCAUCGCAACCCCGGUGAAUGACAAGAGGAGAGCGAGCGCCGUCAAAGCGAGUACCAAUCUCGCGCAAGCGCGCCUCAAACACAUUAUCAAGGUUGGUCGUGCGCAUGUCGUAGGCGAGCACGCGCUCUACAAAUGCAACGUGGCCCAUCAGCGCCGCGGCGGCGUACGCGCGCGCGAGUGCGGCGGCCGUAGUCUUGGGCCAUCGCAGUUGCAUAAAAGGCAACACACGGUCCAGAAUAUCAAACCGUCCGAAAUGCGACGCUGCAUCCAAGAGCCGAACGGCAUCGUCAGGCACGAGGUCUUGCCUGGCAGACGGCACCUGUUCAUACAUCCACAGCGCGUUAUCGAUAUCGUCCCUCGGCACCAACGGCAGCGUGUGACGACCCCGUGUGAUAUGGGCCAGCACCGCAAUGAGCCUCGCGUCGCCGACAAAAUCUUUCAAAAGGCCAAAGUGGCCUCUCUCCAGACAGUGGAUGACGGCGCGGCUGGUGGCAGUUGUUUGCGAACCGUCCAGUAUGCCCGUGAUGGCUUUUUCCACGAGUUUAGCGUCCGAACCCUGUGCGACUUCGUGCAGCCGCGUCCAGGCCGCCUCGCCAGGGGCAUCGGCGGCACCGGUCCAUGCCGCACGCACGACGCGCAUUGCGUCGCCUGGACGAUAGCCGCAGACGACCGCGAUCACCGUGUGCGUGAUCAGCCAUCUAGAGUCAUUGGAUCCCGCCGGCCGGUUGUCUUUGCGGCACAGCCACGCCACGGUGUUGUCUUUGUCCGACUGACCGAGCCGCAGGAUGAUGCGCAUCCAAUCGUCGCGAUCGAACGGCCAGACGUUGGCACUUUGAAGCGCCAGGCGACGCGCUAGGUCCGUGUGGCCACCAGUGGCGGCAAGUUCCACGCACUUGCGCCAAAACGACGGUUCGUCGCGCAAGGCAAAGAGGUCCGGCCGACCGAGUGCAUAGUCGACGCCCUCGACGUCGCCGGCGGCGCACAGGGAAAAGAACGUUGUCCAGCGGUACUUGCGCCUGUAGAUCGUACCACGAUCGAGCACAUGAAAGCGACGCCAGGCCAGCAGACACGCGCCCAGCGAUCGAUCGUCGAGAAAGCCGUCGACCAAGUAGACAAGGACGUCAUCUGGCAGGAUGUCGAUGGGCGGCGAUUGCUCGUGGUCGAGCAUGCUGCCGACACCAUCACCAUCGUCGUCGCAUCCUUGGUGCAUGUUGGGGGCAAGAAAAAAGCAAAAAAACAAUGAAAGAGCAGGGUGAAAAAAAGAGAGGGAUUUUUUGUUGGCGGCGCGAUUGGGCGGCCACAAAGGGCAAGGCAAGGGCGAUGCCGCAGAAAAAAACCAACAACAGCGGC
RNAcentral lists this long non-coding RNA (1565 nucleotides) under Pandoravirus celtis. Its description in RNAcentral is "hypothetical ncRNA". The record is from RNAcentral.